This 77-nucleotide transfer RNA is filed under the name Actinocatenispora comari. RNAcentral describes it as "tRNA-Arg". Lineage: Bacteria; Bacillati; Actinomycetota; Actinomycetes; Micromonosporales; Micromonosporaceae. The record is from RNAcentral.
GGGUUCGUUGCGGGGUUUCUGGCCCGGCGAGUUCCGGAUUCGCCUGACCCAAGUGCUGGUUGCCUGGGCGGGUUUGC